GACUGCUAAGACUGGAUAGGAAGAUAAAAGGCAUCUUUUAUCUUUUAAAAGACCUAGUAAUAGGUAUGCUUUAGGAGGGGCUUGCGCCAUAUUAGUUAGUUGGUAGGGUAAUGGCCUACCAAGACGAUGAUGUGUAGCUGGACUGAGAGGUUGAACAGCCACAUUGGGACUGAGACACGGCCCAAACUCCUACGGGAGGCAGCAGUAGGGAAUUUUCGGCAAUGGAGGAAACUCUGACCGAGCAACGCCGCGUGAAUGACGAAGUACUUCGGUAUGUAAAGUUCUUUUAUCAAGGAAGAAAAGCAAAUGGCGAACCAUUUGUUUGCCGGUACUUGAUGAAUAAGCCCCGGCUAAUUAUGUGCCAGCAGCCGCGGUAAGACAUAAGGGGCAAGUGUUAUCCGGAAUUAUUGGGCGUAAAGGGUGCGUAGGCGGUCUAGUAAGUCAGUGGUGUAAUGGCAACGCUUAACGUUGUCCGGCUAUUGAAACUGCUAAACUUGAGUUAGAUAGAGGCGAGUGGAAUUCCAUGUGUAGCGGUAAAAUGCGUAAAUAUAUGGAGGAACACCAGAGGCGUAGGCGGCUCGCUGGGUCUUAACUGACGCUGAGGCACGAAAGCGUGGGGAGCAAACAGGAUUAGAUACCCUGGUAGUCCACGCCGUAAACGAUGAGUACUAAGUGUCGGGUUAAACCGGUACUGAAGUUAACACAUUAAGUACUCCGCCUGAGUAGUACGUACGCAAGUAUGAAACUUAAAGGAAUUGACGGGACUCCGCACAAGCGGUGGAUCAUGUUGUUUAAUUCGAAGAUACCCGAAAAACCUUACCAGGUCUUGACAUGUUUUUGCAAAAUGAUAGUAAUAUCGUGGAGGUUACCAGAAACACAGGUGGUGCAUGGUUGUCGUCAGCUCGUGUCGUGAGAUGUUAGGUUAAGUCCUAAAACGAGCGAAACCCUUAUCGUUAGUUGCCAGCACGUUAUGGUGGGGACUUUAACGAGACUGCCAAUGAUAAAUUGGAGGAAGGUGAGGAUCACGUCAAAUCAGCAUGCCCCUUAUGACCUGGGCUACAAACGUGAUACAAUGGCUGUUACAAAGGGUAGCUGAAACGCAAGUUCUUGGCCAAUCCCCAAAAACAGUCCCAGUCCGGAUUGAAGUCUGCAACUCGACUUCAUGAAGUUGGAAUCGCUAGUAAUCGCGAAUCAGCAUGUCGCGGUGAAUACGUUCUCGGGGUUUGUACACACCGCCCGUC
This 1241-nucleotide ribosomal RNA is filed under the name Candidatus Phytoplasma citri. RNAcentral's name for it is "bacterial SSU rRNA". It matches the Rfam family "Bacterial small subunit ribosomal RNA", at positions 158 to 1398 of the family's 1533-position model. The record is from RNAcentral. Lineage: Bacteria; Bacillati; Mycoplasmatota; Mollicutes; Acholeplasmatales; Acholeplasmataceae.